AAACUAGAUUAGAUACCCUAUUAUGCUUAGCCGUAAACCUAAAUAAUUAAUAAACAAAAUUAUUCGCCAGAGUACUACAAGCAACAGCUUAAAACUCAAAGGACUUGGCGGUGCUUUAUAUCCCUCUAGAGGAGCCUGUUCUAUAAUCGAUAAACCCCGAUAAACCUCACCACUUCUUGCUAAUUCAACUUAUAUACCGCCAUCCUCAGCAAACCCUGUCAAGGCCUCAAAGUAAGCAAAAACACAUACAUAAAAACGUUAGGUCAAGGUGUAGUCUAUGAAGUGGAAAGAAAUGGGCUACAUUUUCUAACAUAAGAACAACAUCCCAACAGAAGCCUUUAUGAAACUAAAAGCCAAAGGAGGAUUUAGCAGUAAAUUAAGAAUAGAGAGCUUAAUUGAAUUGGGCCAUGAAGCACGCACACAUCGCCCGUCGCUCUU
RNAcentral lists this ribosomal RNA (438 nucleotides) under Hapalemur occidentalis (Sambirano bamboo lemur). RNAcentral's name for it is "partial 12S ribosomal RNA". It matches the Rfam family "Bacterial small subunit ribosomal RNA", at positions 769 to 1404 of the family's 1533-position model. The record is from RNAcentral. Lineage: Eukaryota; Metazoa; Chordata; Mammalia; Primates; Lemuridae.